Molecule: ribosomal RNA, 447 nt
Filed under: uncultured bacterium
Lineage: Bacteria
Description: partial 16S ribosomal RNA
Rfam family: Bacterial small subunit ribosomal RNA
Source: RNAcentral
AACGAACGCUGGCGGCAGGCCUAAUACAUGCAAGUCGAGCGCCCCGCAAGGGAAGCGGCGCACGGGUGCGUAACACGUGGGAAUAUGCCCUUGGGUGCGGAACAACAUCGGGAAACUGAUGCUAAUACCGCAUAAUGACUCCGGUCCAAAGAUUUAUCGCCCAAGGAUUAGCCCGCGUUGGAUUAGCUAGUUGGUGAGGUAACGGCUCACCAAGGCAACGAUCCAUAGCUGGUCUGAGAGGACGACCAGCCACACUGGGACUGAGACACGGCCCAGACUCCUACGGGAGGCAGCAGUAAGGAAUAUUUGACAAUGGGGGAAGCCCUGAUCCGGCCAUGCCGCGUGAGUGAUGAAGGCCUUCGGGUUGUAAAGCUCUUUUAGAUGUGACGAUGCUGACGGUAACUGCAGAAAAAGCUCCGGCUAACUUCGUGCCAGCAGCCGCGGUAA